This 585-nucleotide unclassified non-coding RNA is filed under the name Hevea brasiliensis (rubber tree). The record is from RNAcentral. Lineage: Eukaryota; Viridiplantae; Streptophyta; Magnoliopsida; Malpighiales; Euphorbiaceae.
CUUAGCUGAAGUAGGAAGGAGCAUUGCAGUAUUUCCAACUCCUGCAUCUUUUUAAUAUGGAGAGACCUGAGGCUGGGUAGUUGAUCAAAGGAGAGGACUUUGCAUUUUGUGCAAUUAUACAAGGAAAUGCUGACCAGCUUCCUGAGCUGCCCAUCUGUCAUCCAAGAUGGAAAUCUAGCUCCUCCGUAGUGAGAAAUUGCAAGCUCCUUGAGAUCUGAGUGAGGUUGAAGACGUUCAAGCACGGUCUCUUCUGCUGCUUCAUCUUGUGAACUGACUUCUCUGCUAGUCCACUCAAAAACUAUCUUCUCAAGCCUCUCCUUCUCAUUCAGUUUAGCCUCUGCUGCAUCAACUGCAUUUUCAAGGUUUGAAAUAUGCAAUGUUCCUGUAAGAUGCGCCAUCUCUUUCAAUUGUCUGAGUUCAUAUCCAGUCUGGUUGCCAACCCUGAAUGUGUGCAGAUUGUGCAGCCCUUUUAAGCUUCCAAUAUUUGGUGGCAAAGUUUUGCAUUUGAACCAGNNNNNNNNNNNAACUCAAGAAAACAGAGAUUAACCAAAUUGCCAAGGUCCUUAGGGAGCUCGAAAAGCCAAA